GAAGGUGCCGGCCCUCGGGACCCCCGAUCUAGCCGCAGCCGGAAGCCCCUCCAGCCGGCGGGCUCUCUCCGUUAGCCUGCUCCCCGCCCGUCCCCGGCUCCCCGUGAAAAGGGACCCUCGCCGCCCUGCCGCCGCGUCCGGUCACUCACCCGGGUUGAAGAGCACCGUUCCCUUGAGACUAGCAGCAUGUCAAGGUUGCUGUGUCCUGCAAAGAGAGUGAGAAUUUCAUCUAUUUCUUGUCAGGAGAAGUGUGGUAGCUGUGAAGGAUCCCAGCUUUUAUCCCCUUCGUGGGCAGCGGCGCUGAUUAAACUCAUCCCCUUGACUCACCUGUCCGGUUAAUCAAUACAGUCUGGCUGGAACUGAAAAAGCAGGUUAAACCUAGAGAGUGCAAAACUUGACUCUUAGGGAAGGCCCUGUAAUCUUACUGACUUUCUCUUCCCCAUUUUGAAGUUAACUUGUGUCCCACCUGUUUCUGCACUCAGAGUCCACACAGCUCUUAUGUUUUGCAUGGCGUGGUGAAGGGAGUACCCAAACUGGGCAGACUGACUGCCCCAAUAUUUCUGUCACUGCGUCACCGUGGCUGAUGCCAGCCCUCGCCGUGGUCAGUGGUAAUGGUACACGGAUACAUAUUUCAAGAGCAAGAUCUGACCGAGCAUUGAGUGCUGUUGCCGUGUGCUACUGGGGCCAGCCUGUUUAGCCUGGAAGGACUCUGGAAAGACAAAUAGUACUUUGAUUUUUGUCUCUUUCUUUGAUGUGCGAUAGCUUGACUGUACUCAGUGAAUCUACUGAAUACCCACUGUGUAAAAGGCAGGCUAUACAACCGGAGUGCACGAUAACACACUGCCUGGAAGGUGUUCAGGGACCAAGCUGCGCCUGCAUAUGCGGCUCCUGACCAGCUACUGUAAAUCUGGCAAAUGUAAAAAGCCUUGACGAAAUGAGGCUUGUCAAGCCCUAAAAGGAGUAUGAGCCUUUCUUCGCCUUGCUGCUCUGAACGCCAGAGAAAUGUUUCCAGUGAGGCUGAAGCAACGCUCGGGCGCUUGGGCUAUUCUCCCCAGGGCUGCAGACAAUGAGAGGGCUGCGCUGCGACCUUCGGCCAGCAGCGGACGGUGUCACCAGGAAGGGUGCGACUCUGCGGCUUCCGAGGUCCCCACCAUACCGUCACAGCCACAGCUGCGUGUGGUGGCCAGAGCCACCACCGGCACAUCUGCACACGAGGAGGCAAAAGAGAAGGGUGAAGUUUCACCUCUUCCUAGGCUGAACAAACAAAGUGCACGGUAAAAGCUCCUGGUUUGGUGUUUUCUUUAUAACGGAUGAGACAUCAUCUUUGUAACUAUUACAUGACAUUUUGAACCCUUCUGUAGAAGGCAGUUUGCAUCAGCAAUGUUAUUACUAUUUGCUGUUUUCCAUUUGUUUUGAGGUGCAGUUUAUACACAAUGCAAGCUACCUCAUGGGAAACAGACGGCCGCGGCUUACAGUUCGAGCUGAAAAGAGAUCAUUAACACAGUGACAUUUGGGGAAAGGUGAGAGCAGCUUUGACAGCCGGGGGAAAAGAUUUUACACAGCUCAGAAAGAUCCUACAUUUCCUCCCAUCCCAGAGACAUGAGUCAUGCUAUGUCUGCCAGUAUGAGAUUUAACUCUUGCUACUGUAAACACUGGUUUUGUGAGGACUGAUUUUCAGUUUAUAUACCUAAAAGUAUACAUAUGUUGGCUAGUGAAACCUAAUGAAAGCAGAAAUAAAAGCAGGGUGAAGUAGCUAAACAUACGGAAACCUGCCUGAGGAGAUGUGCACCCGUGUGAGCUGAAAGCAGGACCAGGUGAGACAGCAGCACGCGGUGCAAUGGGCGCCACGCUGCUCGCCGCCGCUGCCAGCAAACGCUCUGUGAUGACACCUGCAGAAGCUCCUGGCACUCACCUUGCCUGCCACGCCACGACGACCAUGGAGCACGUGCAACCAGAGGAAGGGCGAAUGCCCUUUUGCUGGCGGUGAAGUAAGCAACGUCGCCAGCCGCUCGGCCCUUGCCGAGGUGAAGCCAGU
This is a long non-coding RNA of Grus americana (Whooping crane), 2035 nucleotides long. RefSeq lists it as uncharacterized. NCBI's taxonomy places the organism in Eukaryota, Metazoa, Chordata, Aves, Gruiformes, Gruidae. The transcript is spliced from 5 exons. The record is from RefSeq and is a predicted model, not a curated record.